GGCUUAACUCCGUGCCAGCAGCCGCGGUAAUACGGAGGGGUGCGAGCGUUUAAUCGGAAUUACUGGGGCGUAAAGCGCAUGCAGGCGGCCUGUUAAGUCAGAUGUGAAAGCCCGGGGCUUAACCUCGGAAUUGCAUUUGAAACUGGCAGGCUAGAGUCUUGUAGAGGGGGGUAGGAAUUUCAGGUGUAGCGGUGAAAUGCGUAGAGAUCUGAAGGAAUACCAGUGGCGAAGGCGGCCCCCUGGACAAAGACUGACGCUCAGAUGCGAAAGCGUGGGGAGCAAACAGGAUUAGAUACCCUGGUAG
This 304-nucleotide ribosomal RNA is filed under the name uncultured bacterium. Its description in RNAcentral is "bacterial SSU rRNA". It matches the Rfam family "Bacterial small subunit ribosomal RNA", at positions 495 to 793 of the family's 1533-position model. The record is from RNAcentral.